ACUCCUACGGGAGGCAGCAGUGGGGAAUCUUGCGCAAUGGGCGAAAGCCUGACGCAGCCAUGCCGCGUGAAUGAUGAAGGUCUUAGGAUUGUAAAAUUCUUUCACCGGGGACGAUAAUGACGGUACCCGGAGAAGAAGCCCCGGCUAACUUCGUGCCAUGCAUCCGCGGUAAUACGAAGGGGCUAGCGUUGCUCGGAAUUACUGGGCGUAAAGGGAGCGUAGGCGGACAUUUAAGUCAGGGGUGAAAUCCCGGGGCUCAACCUCGGAAUUGCCUUUGAUACUGGAUGUCUUGAGUGUGAGAGAGGUAUGUGGAACUCCGAGUGUAUAGGUGAAAUUCGUAGAUAUUCGGAAGAACACCAGUGGCGAAGGCGACAUACUGGCUCAUUACUGACGCUGAGGCUCGAAAGCGUGGGGAGCAAACAGGAUUAGAUACCCUGGUAGGAUAGCG
RNAcentral lists this ribosomal RNA (448 nucleotides) under uncultured bacterium. Its description in RNAcentral is "bacterial SSU rRNA". It matches the Rfam family "Bacterial small subunit ribosomal RNA", at positions 335 to 799 of the family's 1533-position model. The record is from RNAcentral.